This is a long non-coding RNA of Ictalurus punctatus (channel catfish), 598 nucleotides long. Lineage: Eukaryota; Metazoa; Chordata; Actinopteri; Siluriformes; Ictaluridae. The record is from Ensembl.
UGAAUAGCGGACCCUACGGUUAGCAAGUUGAUUAGCGGAGCCUACGGUUAGCAGGUUGAUUAGCAGAGCCUACGGUUAGCAGGUUGAUUAGCGGACCCUACGUUCAGCAGGUUGAUUAGCGGACCCUACGGUUAGCAGGUUGAUCAGCGGAGUCUACGGUUAGCAGGUUGAUUAGCGGACCCUACGGUUAGCAGGUUGAUUGACCCGCUCUACCACCUGAGCCACAGCCACCCUAUGUUACCGAAAAAUGUUUUUAUGUAAGUAAUGAAAGCAGUAUAUUACAUAAGAGACCACUUUUCAGACAAAAACACAAUGAAGGCUGCUGGGUUUUGCUGCAAAAAUAAGAAGCGAGUGCGACAGUCAAAGUCUCCAGAAGAACCGUGUCUGGAUCUGCAAAAUGCUCAAUAAAACUUAACAGCUUAUUUCCUUAUAAAACUACACAAACUGUACCAGACUAUUUCAUUUUUUUCAUUUACUACUGUUUACGGUAUUUUUUUAAAAUGUAGAAACAUUUAAUUUCAAAGCAUUGUCAAAACAUUUAAAGGCAUCUUUGCAGCAUUCCUUUGCAUGUACCUAAAACUUUUGCACAGUACUGUAA